GCAUCCCCACCGGACCCCCAUGUUGCCUUUGGACGACCGCCAGACGCCUUUGGAUUGUUGUUCGACUCCUUUCUCGUGUCACUCGACAGGCGCUCACUGUGACCUUUCCGGCGAUGACUAUACGACGAAGAUCAACUGAGGAGGGAGCCGAGUGGGGAAAAAAAAAAUCACCCAAUCAGGCGAGGCAAUAUUUUAGCUCAUCAUUAAGGCUCUACUCCUAUCUUGAAGGCUCCAAGCUGUGCUCCAGCUUCCAGGCUGUCAGUGGUUUGUGUCUCCUCACCAUCUUCUAUCUCAAACGACAUGACACACUCAGAAAAAGUGAGGGGGAGAGACAACUUCAAAUAUUUGGCAAAGGGAAAGCCUUAAGUUAUGCAAAGAAGGGGGCCGGGAGGAGGGUGGCGGGGGGGGUUCUAUUGUGUUGCAUCUGGAUCCAUUAGUCAACUGUUGGAAAGGUCCCACGUCGACGUGUGUGU
Hippocampus zosterae (dwarf seahorse) is the source of this 473-nucleotide long non-coding RNA. RefSeq lists it as uncharacterized. The record is from RefSeq and is a predicted model, not a curated record. The transcript is spliced from 2 exons. Lineage: Eukaryota; Metazoa; Chordata; Actinopteri; Syngnathiformes; Syngnathidae.